Trichoderma reesei QM6a is the source of this 83-nucleotide transfer RNA. It matches the Rfam family "tRNA". Rfam says of the family: Transfer RNA (tRNA) molecules are approximately 80 nucleotides in length. Their secondary structure includes four short double-helical elements and three loops (D, anti-codon, and T loops). Further hydrogen bonds mediate the characteristic L-shaped molecular structure. tRNAs have two regions of fundamental functional importance: the anti-codon, which is responsible for specific mRNA codon recognition, and the 3' end, to which the tRNAs corresponding amino acid is attached (by aminoacyl-tRNA synthetases). tRNAs cope with the degeneracy of the genetic code in two manners: having more than one tRNA (with a specific anti-codon) for a particular amino acid; and 'wobble' base-pairing, i.e. permitting non-standard base-pairing at the 3rd anti-codon position. NCBI's taxonomy places the organism in Eukaryota, Fungi, Ascomycota, Sordariomycetes, Hypocreales, Hypocreaceae. The record is from Rfam.
GCUUCUGUAGUAUAACGGUCAGUACAACAGUUUGUGGAUCACACGGUUCACUGUAGAUCCAGGUUCGAUUCCUGGCAGGGGCA